UACGUAGGGGCCGAGCGUUGUCCGGAAUUACUGGGCGUAAAGCGCGCGCAGGCGGCUGGUCAAGCCCGACGUGAAAGCCCCCGGCUCAACCGGGGAGGGUCGUCGGGGACUGAUCGGCUUGAGGGCGGUAGGGGCCGGUGGAAUUCCCGGUGUAGUGGUGAAAUGCGUAGAGAUCGGGAGGAACACCAGUAGCGAAGGCGGCCGGCUGGGCCGACCCUGACGCUGAGGCGCGAAGGCGUGGGGAGCGAACGGG
Molecule: ribosomal RNA, 253 nt
Filed under: uncultured bacterium
Lineage: Bacteria
Description: partial 16S ribosomal RNA
Rfam family: Bacterial small subunit ribosomal RNA
Source: RNAcentral